Non-coding RNA from Brachypodium distachyon (stiff brome), 136 nucleotides. NCBI's taxonomy places the organism in Eukaryota, Viridiplantae, Streptophyta, Magnoliopsida, Poales, Poaceae. The record is from Rfam.
CAUAUACUCCCUCCGUCCAACAAAUGAUGUCUCAACUUUGAUUAAAUUUGAAUGCAUCUAUACAUUGAGUCAUGUCUAGAUACAUCCAAAUUUUGACAAACUUGAGACAUCUUUUGUUGGACGGAGGGAGUAGAAG